Long non-coding RNA from Oncorhynchus nerka (sockeye salmon), 936 nucleotides. RefSeq lists it as uncharacterized. Lineage: Eukaryota; Metazoa; Chordata; Actinopteri; Salmoniformes; Salmonidae. The record is from RefSeq and is a predicted model, not a curated record. The transcript has 4 exons.
ACUAAGCAGGGGGGUGUGGAGGAGGAGCCGAGUACUGAGGGUUAAUCCUGAAGUUCCUCAAUUGUAUUCAGUCUUGUGUCGAAGGCUGUCAAUUUACCCAUAGGCUAUAAGAAAGCAUGAGACCCUGAGGAGUCUUUUCAAAACGGAGGUGGGUUAGCUAUUUGUCUGUUGACGUUUGGUGAUUGGUAAAUUGACAUGAGCUGUCCUCCCCUCGUUCAGAUGAAUCAUGUCAGAAGUCAGUGGAUGAGCUCCAGGCUAGGAAGCAGCAGGUCAGAGUUUGAGGUUGUCCAGCAGGUCCUGAACAAGGUGACUGCCUGUUUCCAAAUGGCCACCUCUUUCGGAAGCAACUCUGACGGCAGAUUUCUGAGAUGGACGAGACCAGAGCACUGGCUUACAGAAUCUGCACAGGUUUGCAGACAGCUGGUACCUCUGACAAGAGGGAGAAUCUGGACCAGAAAAAUCAAGAACAGUCCUCCUGGUUUUGACCGUUGCCUGUUCUGGACUCUGUACCCGCCUGCCUGACCAUUCUGCCUGCCCGAGUGUCAUGAUAGCAGCUCGGAGGGGGUUUAGCCACAUGAACUUCAUUAAUUCCAUUUAGAUAUAGGAUCCAAAUUCAGUGUGUUUGCCUUGAUGUUCAUGAAACUCCAUGGACCCCUCUUGCACAGUGGAACCCAGAAUGAUAUGCGACCACACUAUUCUGCCAGGGACAUCCAAACCUGAGUGGCCACCGCAAAGCCCAAGGAGCCUGACUCUCUCUGGAAGUUGCAGUUGCCCUGCUUUGGAUAUUUAGCCUUUAUUGACUAUUGGUUGAGAGGCAGGGCCCGUUCUACAGUAGCUUAGUAUGUCAGGGUGGGGCAAGAUUUAUGUUCACUUUUUUCAAUGUUCAAUUGAUUUGAUAACAUGUUUUAUGCAAAUAAAUUAUAUGAAUUGAUAGUU